Long non-coding RNA from Hippopotamus amphibius kiboko, 1365 nucleotides. RefSeq lists it as uncharacterized. The transcript has 4 exons. NCBI's taxonomy places the organism in Eukaryota, Metazoa, Chordata, Mammalia, Artiodactyla, Hippopotamidae. The record is from RefSeq and is a predicted model, not a curated record.
CCUUCCUCACAGGGAGAUGGGAGUUAAUCUUCCCAAGCCCUCCGUUAAGGAUUAUUCUAGAGACAGGGGCAGCAGACCCGUUUGUGAGUGGGAGAAGCCGAGAGGACACGUUUUAAAAAGAACGCUCUGGAAUUCUUCACUUCAUCUGAAAGGAGAGUCUGGUUGACUAUAAAUAGCACAUGCCUUGAAAUGGAGGAGAAUGCAGGGAAAUCUUUGGUUUCCAAAUUCAGGAUGGACUGGCUGGUCUUAAGAAGACAAAAGCAUCACUUCAUGGGACCCCCUACUGCCCACCUUGUCUCAGUCUCCCCCAAGAUGAACCAUCAUCUGAGGAGGAAGGGACCCAGCACCAGUACGUCCCCCUCAAGUUCUUGGAAAUCUUGUAUUUGACUUUCUCCUGCACUGACUGUCCUUGAAAGUUUGCCUCCGAUAAGCCUGGUAUAGCUGUGAAGAGCCCAGGAGCAUGCCUUCAGAGACCAUCAGCCUUGGAACUUUUUCUCUACCAAAACUCUUGGUUUUAAACUAUUUUGCAUUAAGGUAACAAUGCCUGAUGGAUAAAAGGAUGCAGUGUGGGUCUCAUUUAGUCUCAGCCCCAGAUUAGGAUGAAAAUCAGUGAGUCUGCUGCCAAUGGAGGGUCAUGGUCUGGGAGAAAUGGUCAGUCCCAAAUAUGCAGGCCCCAUUGUGGCCUCAGGUCAGGGACAAGCACCAGGCAUAUCCAGGUUUACUCCAAGUGACCAUAGCAUAAUUCCGCUGUGAAGUGGGUCCGCUCCUGAGACUUACGGCUUCUUUGAGACUAAAUGCUCCUGUUAGAUCAUGAGGUCCUGGAGAGCUGUUCCUUCAACACACGUUUCCCUGUAGGUCAGCGCCUGAGUGCUCUUGGCUCAAAUCUCACCAUCCAGUCCAGCUGUGGAACUGCCAGCUCAGGCUGACCUGGGGCCGUGGUGUUUCCACCCAGCUCUGGCCCUUCCCUCCUCUCUCCUGUUCCCGCAGCCAGGCUCUCCCACCUCCCAGCUCCAGCAACACAGAUGCUUUCCUAUGGGCAGAAGCUUUUCACCUGGGAAGAUUUCUCUAAAUCUUUUUAAGGAGUUCCUCAUAACUUUUCAGGCUUGAUGCUUUCAACCGAGACAUUUGUGUGAAUGUAUUCACUGUUGUGUGGCGGGGAUGGGCUUGCCCAUCCACCUACCGGGCUGUGGGGAGCCGCUUUGUGAAGGGGCAUUAUUACGUGGUCUUUAUGGGCAGCAAUUCGUGCACCCAGAAAACAGGGGCCAUUUUCAUUUCCUUUGUGUCCUUGGAGGCUUGAAACAACGUGAUGGCAUGUGGGCACUAACUAGAUGUGAUAAAAGCCCUUUACAACUCUUGCCUUUUUUU